This 394-nucleotide ribosomal RNA is filed under the name uncultured bacterium. RNAcentral describes it as "partial 16S ribosomal RNA". It matches the Rfam family "Bacterial small subunit ribosomal RNA", at positions 523 to 918 of the family's 1533-position model. The record is from RNAcentral.
ACACGUAGGGGGCGAGCGUUGUUCGGAAUCAUUGGGCGUAAAGGGCGUGCAGGCGGUCCUGCAAGUCCGGCGUGAAAGACCCCGGCCCAACCGGGGGGACGCGCUGGAAACUGCAGGGCUUGAGUACAGGAGGGGAUGCCGGAAUUGCAGGGGGAGGGGUGAAAUCUGUAGAUAUCUGGAAGAACACCAAUGGCGAAGGCAGGCAUCUGGCCAUGUACUGACGCUGAGACGCGAAGGUGCGGGGAGCAAACAGGUUUAGAUACCCUGGUAGUCCGCACAGUAAACGAUGUGCACCAGGUGGCGGGGGGUCGACCCCCGGUACCGUAGCUAACGCAUUAAGUGCACCGCCUGGGGAGUAUGCUCGCAAGGGUGAAACUCAAAGGAAUUGACGGGG